This 253-nucleotide ribosomal RNA is filed under the name uncultured bacterium. RNAcentral describes it as "partial 16S ribosomal RNA". It matches the Rfam family "Bacterial small subunit ribosomal RNA", at positions 524 to 776 of the family's 1533-position model. The record is from RNAcentral.
UACGUAGGGUGCAAGCGUUAAUCGGAAUUACUGGGCGUAAAGCGUGCGCAGGCGGUGAUGUAAGACAGUUGUGAAAUCCCCGGGCUCAACCUGGGAACUGCAUCUGUGACUGCAUCGCUGGAGUGCGGCAGAGGGGGAUGGAAUUCCGCGUGUAGCAGUGAAAUGCGUAGAUAUGCGGAGGAACACCGAUGGCGAAGGCAAUCCCCUGGGCCAAUACUGACGCUCAUGCACGAAAGCGUGGGGAGCAAACAGG